Molecule: long non-coding RNA, 685 nt
Filed under: Anser brachyrhynchus (Pink-footed goose)
Lineage: Eukaryota; Metazoa; Chordata; Aves; Anseriformes; Anatidae
Description: lncRNA (ENSABRG00000009521.1)
Source: RNAcentral
UUCUGUGUCCACACUUCAAGACAAAACUAAGAUAUUAUUAAGUUUGGAAUUUCUCUAACCUCUAACUUGCCGUUUUUAUGAACGGCAUUUUAUAUGGCAAUAAAAUCAAUGGUAUACCAAUCCUUUUCUUAGUCAGACUCAGCAUCAAGGGAAAAUUUCACUGCAGAUACCAAAGAUUUUCUUUCUCAGGAAUAAACAGAGAACCCUCCAGCCAUGCCUUUUGGCUGUUAGCAUGGAUAAAGGUUAAUUGCCGCAUUUUUAUGUUUCUCUUUGUAAUUAAGAUUUGAGCCUUCAUUGCUUUUCAAUGCAGUUACUGGCAAUUGAAGUUAAUCUUUUUAAUCGUUGCAGGAAAAGGCAGGUGCUGUACUGCAAAUCCCACUUGAAAUGCACGGGGCUUCAGUAUUUGGAAACAUGCCUAUACCUAGGAGAAGGUGGAAUAACAUAUUUGGAGAAUAUGAAUGCUCCAGAUACUACAUCUGAAAGAAAUGAUUGCCAAAGUGCUCAAGAGAGGAAAUCUCCAGACUUAUCCGUAAGACUUUCCUCUUUGCCUUGGAAAAUUACCAAGCUGGAUAAUUUCUCAGGAGUCAGAUUUUCAGAACUGCACAAAGUACGUGGAGUGCUUCCCCAUCGCCUCCCUUUCACCUAUGUUUUCAACGUAAGCUGCACUUUUAAUGACUUUUUGUAA